Molecule: ribosomal RNA, 483 nt
Filed under: uncultured bacterium
Lineage: Bacteria
Description: partial 16S ribosomal RNA
Rfam family: Bacterial small subunit ribosomal RNA
Source: RNAcentral
GACGAACGCUGGCGGCGUGCUUAACACAUGCAAGUCGAACGCUGAAGCUCAGCUUUUGUUGGGUGGAUGAGUGGCGAACGGGUGAGUAACACGUGAGUAACCUGCCUCCUUCUUUGGGAUAACGCCCGGAAACGGGUGCUAAUACUGGAUAUUCACUGGUCUUCGCAUGGGGGUUGGUGGAAAGGGUUUUUCUGGUGGGGGAUGGGCUCGCGGCCUAUCAGCUUGUUGGUGGGGUGAUGGCCUACCAAGGCUUUGACGGGUAGCCGGCCUGAGAGGGUGACCGGUCACAUUGGGACUGAGAUACGGCCCAGACCCCUACGGGAGGCAGCAGUGGGGAAUAUUGCACAAUGGGCGCAAGCCUGAUGCAGCGACGCCGCGUGAGGGAUGGAGGCCUUCGGGUUGUGAACCUCUUCCGCUCAUGGUCAAGCCGCAACAAUGGUUGUGGUGAGGGUAGUGGGUAAAGAAGCGCCGGCUAACUACGUG